This 395-nucleotide ribosomal RNA is filed under the name uncultured bacterium. Its description in RNAcentral is "bacterial SSU rRNA". It matches the Rfam family "Bacterial small subunit ribosomal RNA", at positions 28 to 420 of the family's 1533-position model. The record is from RNAcentral.
GACGAACGCUGGCGGCGUGCUUAACACAUGCAAGUCGAGCGGUAAGGCCCUUUCGGGGGUACGACGAGCGGCGAACGGGUGAGUAACACGUGGGUGACCUGCCCUCAGCUCUGGGAGUAAGCCUCGGGAAACCGGGUACUAAUACCGGAUAUGACUCCAUGACGCAUGUUGUGGGGUGGAAAGCCUUGUGCGGCUGAGGAUGGGCCCGCGGCCUAUCAGCUUGUUGGUGGGGUGAUGGCCUACCAAGGCGACGACGGGUAGCCGGCCUGAGAGGGCGACCGGCCACACUGGGACUGAGACACGGCCCAGACUCCUACGGGAGGCAGCAGUGGGGAAUCUUGCGCAAUGGGCGAAAGCCUGACGCAGCGACGCCGCGUGAGGGAUGACGGCCUGUG